Molecule: ribosomal RNA, 482 nt
Filed under: uncultured bacterium
Lineage: Bacteria
Description: partial 16S ribosomal RNA
Rfam family: Bacterial small subunit ribosomal RNA
Source: RNAcentral
AUUGAACGCUGGCGGCAUGCCUUACACAUGCAAGUCGAGCGGUAACAGGUCUUCGGAUGCUGACGAGUGGCGAACGGGUGAGUAAUACAUCGGAACGUGCCCGAUCGUGGGGGAUAACGGAGCGAAAGCUUUGCUAAUACCGCAUACGAUCUACGGAUGAAAGCAGGGGACCGCAAGGCCUUGCGCGGACGGAGCGGCCGAUGGCAGAUUAGGUAGUUGGUGGGAUAAAAGCUUACCAAGCCGACGAUCUGUAGCUGGUCUGAGAGGACGACCAGCCACACUGGGACUGAGACACGGCCCAGACUCCUACGGGAGGCAGCAGUGGGGAAUUUUGGACAAUGGGCGAAAGCCUGAUCCAGCCAUGCCGCGUGCAGGAUGAAGGCCUCCGGGUUGUAAACUGCUUUUGUACGGAACGAAAAGACUCUUUCUAAUAAAGAGGGUCCAUGACGGUACCGUAAGAAUAAGCACCGGCUAACUACGUG